GACGAACGCUGGCGGCGUGCCUAAUACAUGCAAGUAGAACGCUGAAGAGAGGAGCUUGCUCUUCUUGGAUGAGUUGCGAACGGGUGAGUAACGCGUAGGUAACCUGCCUUGUAGCGGGGGAUAACUAUUGGAAACGAUAGCUAAUACCGCAUAACAAUGGAUGACCCAUGUCAUUUAUUUGAAAGGGGCAAAUGCUCCACUACAAGAUGGACCUGCGUUGUAUUAGCUAGUAGGUGAGGUAACGGCUCACCUAGGCGACGAUACAUAGCCGACCUGAGAGGGUGAUCGGCCACACUGGGACUGAGACACGGCCCAGACUCCUACGGGAGGCAGCAGUAGGGAAUCUUCGGCAAUGGGGGCAACCCUGACCGAGCAACGCCGCGUGAGUGAAGAAGGUUUUCGGAUCGUAAAGCUCUGUUGUAAAUCAAGAACGAGUGUGAGAGUGGAAAGUUCACACUGUGACGGUAGCUUACCAGAAAGGGACGGCUAACUACGUG
Molecule: ribosomal RNA, 497 nt
Filed under: uncultured bacterium
Lineage: Bacteria
Description: partial 16S ribosomal RNA
Rfam family: Bacterial small subunit ribosomal RNA
Source: RNAcentral